Molecule: ribosomal RNA, 467 nt
Filed under: uncultured bacterium
Lineage: Bacteria
Description: partial 16S ribosomal RNA
Rfam family: Bacterial small subunit ribosomal RNA
Source: RNAcentral
GGCGAACGCUGGCGGCGUGCUUAACACAUGCAAGUCGAACGGAAAGGCCUCUUUCGGGGGGUACUCGAGUGGCGAACGGGUGAGUAACACGUGAGUAACCUGCCCUUGACUUUGGGAUAACUUCAGGAAACUGGGGCUAAUACCGGAUAGGAGCUCCUGCUGCAUGGUGGGGGUUGGAAAGUUUCGGCGGUUGGGGAUGGACUCGCGGCUUAUCAGCUUGUUGGUGGGGUAGUGGCUUACCAAGGCUUUGACGGGUAGCCGGCCUGAGAGGGUGACCGGCCACAUUGGGACUGAGAUACGGCCCAGACUCCUACGGGAGGCAGCAGUGGGGAAUAUUGCACAAUGGGUGGAAGCCUGAUGCAGCAACGCCGUGUGCGGGAUGACGGCCUUCGGGUUGGAAACCGCUUUCGCUCAUGACGAAGCUUUGUGUGACGGUAGUGGGUAAAGAAGCACCGGCUAACUACGUG